RNAcentral lists this ribosomal RNA (465 nucleotides) under uncultured bacterium. RNAcentral's name for it is "bacterial SSU rRNA". It matches the Rfam family "Bacterial small subunit ribosomal RNA", at positions 338 to 795 of the family's 1533-position model. The record is from RNAcentral.
CCUANGGGUGGCAGCAGUGGGGAAUUUUGGACAAUGGGCGCAAGCCUGAUCCAGCCAUUCCGCGUGAGUGAAGAAGGCCUUCGGGUUGUAAAGCUCUUUCGCAAGGGAAGAAACGAUUUAGGUAAAUAAUCUAAGUUAAUGACGGUACCUUGAUAAGAAGCACCGGCUAACUACGUGCCAGCAGCCGCGGUAAUACGUAGGGUGCGAGCGUUAAUCGGAAUUACUGGGCGUAAAGCGUGCGCAGGCUGUUUUGUAAGUCAGAUGUGAAAUCCCCGAGCUCAACUUGGGAACUGCGUUUGAAACUACAAGACUAGAAUAUGUCAGAGGGGGGUAGAAUUCCACGUGUAGCAGUGAAAUGCGUAGAGAUGUGGAGGAAUAUCAAUGGCGAAGGCAGCCCCCUGGGAUAAUAUUGACGCUCAUGCACGAAAGCGUGGGGAGCAAACAGGAUUAGAUACCCCANUANUC